AGGACGAACGCUGGCGGCGUGCUUAACACAUGCAAGUCGAGCGGUAAGGCCUUUCGGGGUACACGAGCGGCGAACGGGUGAGUAACACGUGGGUGAUCUGCCCUGCACUCUGGGAUAAGCCUGGGAAACUGGGUCUAAUACCGGAUAUGACCUGCUCUCGCAUGGGGGUGGGUGGAAAGAUUUAUCGGUGCAGGAUGGGCCCGCGGCCUAUCAGCUUGUUGGUGGGUAAUGGCCUACCAAGGCGACGACGGGUA
Molecule: ribosomal RNA, 254 nt
Filed under: uncultured soil bacterium
Lineage: Bacteria
Description: partial 16S ribosomal RNA
Rfam family: Bacterial small subunit ribosomal RNA
Source: RNAcentral